This 972-nucleotide long non-coding RNA is filed under the name Homo sapiens (human). RNAcentral describes it as "HSALNT0347654". The record is from RNAcentral. Lineage: Eukaryota; Metazoa; Chordata; Mammalia; Primates; Hominidae.
UGAGCAAGGGAACAGCAAUUAGCGGAGAAGGGACUCUGGGGGGUGGUCGCCCACCCCCUUAGUCGGAUGGUUUUUUCCUCCCCUCGUGGCUGGGUCACGAGCUUUUUAUAGGCUUAGAAUAGGGGAGGGGCAGGUCAUAGGUAGUAUUGGAAAAGGCAACGCUUGAUCGGUUAAAACGCAUUAUUUAGAAAUAAUUAAUCAGGAAAGAGCGGGGGCAAAAAGGAACAGAAAUACUCAGCCUGUGUCGCGGGUUUCAUCUGGGACCAGCAGUUCAGUGUUUUUGGCUGGAAGGUGGGGUUUCACCCCAUCCUCCUGGGCAUUUAGCAGCCUCCAGCCGCUCUCACUUUCGUGUGCCAUGGACGAGAUGAUAAACUGAGAUUGUAGAGGAGUUGCAGUUCUUGGCAGUGACCAGGUCUAGAGAACGACCACUGAGGGGUUGCUUGCUCUGAUGGAAACGUUAUUCCUAGGCUUCAUUUCUGAAUAUGGAUGUCCCACUGCCAGCUUUGGGAAGCCUUCACCAUCUCUGCCUAUACAGAUGGACACACUCCCUGCCUGUGCUGCUGCUAGACUGUGCUUACACUUCCAUCACAGAAUUUAUUUGAUUGGGUUAUCAUGGCUUCUCUGCUGGAAUGGAAGCUACUUGGGAGCCUGGGGAAAUGCUUGGCUCAAAGCACUUCUGCACUUCUGAUGGUUGGAUGACUCCACUGAGACCCAAGACUUAAGACUCACCUGGUCCUAUAGCCCCCACCCAGAAGUGGACUCAGCACAUAAGAACCAUUUUCUACAUCUCUAUGAUUGCACCCCUGACCAAUCAGCAGCACCCAUUCCCUAGCCCCCAGCCCACCUAACUAUCUUGAAAAAACUCUAGCCUCCAAAUUUUCAGGGAAUCUGAUUUGAGUAAUAAAAUCAACCCAUCUGUUAUUAUUAGUCUGGCCAUUUAGCUGGUUCUAUGUAUAUUAAACUGUUUCUCUA